CCUACGGGAGGCAGCAGUGAGGAAUAUUGGUCAAUGGACGAGAGUCUGAACCAGCCAAGUAGCGUGAAGGAUGACUGCCCUAUGGGUUGUAAACUUCUUUUAUAUGGGAAUAAAAUGUUCCACGUGUGGGAUUUUGUAUGUACCAUAUGAAUAAGGAUCGGCUAACUCCGUGCCAGUAGCCGCGGUAAUACGGAGGAUCCGAGCGUUAUCCGGAUUUGUUGGGGUUAAAGGGAGCGUAGGUGGAUUGUUAAGUCAGUUGUGAAAGUUUGCGGCUCAAACGUAAAAUUGCAGUUGAAACUGGCAGUCUUGAGUACAGUAGAGGUGGGCGGAAUUCGUGGUGUAGCGGUGAAAUGCUUAGAUAUCACGAAGAACUCCGAUUGCGAAGGCAGCUCACUGGACUGCAACUGACACUGAGGCUCGAAAGUGUGGGUAUCAAACAGGAUUAGAUACCCUGGUAGUC
This 460-nucleotide ribosomal RNA is filed under the name uncultured bacterium. RNAcentral's name for it is "partial 16S ribosomal RNA". It matches the Rfam family "Bacterial small subunit ribosomal RNA", at positions 338 to 795 of the family's 1533-position model. The record is from RNAcentral.